GAAAGCAGAAUGAAUGUUUUCAGAAAUCUGAGGAAGAGUUAACACUGUAACUGUCAAGUUCUACAUUGCUUUUUUUUUUUUUUUCUUUUUUUCACCAGGAACUCUCAAUGAGUGCUUCAACAUUUAUAGUCCAGACAUGAUAUUCUAGACUAUGAGCUGAUUUUUCAGUUGUACUGGAUCUUUGAAAGCUGGCAGGAUGAAUUUCUAGGUUUCCAGUCUUUAACGUUUAUCUCCCCUUGGAUCUCACCAUCUGCUCCUAU
Molecule: long non-coding RNA, 260 nt
Filed under: Anas platyrhynchos platyrhynchos (common mallard)
Lineage: Eukaryota; Metazoa; Chordata; Aves; Anseriformes; Anatidae
Description: lncRNA (ENSAPLG00000030818.1)
Source: RNAcentral